CUAGCUUAGCUAGCUAGCGCCCCUUCGUGAAAAACCACCCAGGCUUGGCUGAUAGUGAGGUGGCUAAAAUUUGUUUAAUCGCCCGAUCGCUCGGCAAGGGUCUGUGUCUUAGCUGGACUUAUUUUUCGUUUAUAUGGGCCGAUGAUGCUGGUCGAUGUGGAAAAAAUAACUGAGUUGUUUGGUGGUGGAGCUACAACAGAGGGCAGCUAUCCACCGGUGUGUGACAGAAAGGACAUGCCGCGAACGAGACAUACAAGGCGGUGAGGCUACCGCCGAUCGUCCGGUGUUUGCUAACGCGGAGGUCAAUCGUGGAUCAGGGAAAGCGAAGGCAGGAGCGUGAGGUGAACUGAAUUUCAGGUAAGAAGUUAUGACCUGCACUCUAUUUGGGUCAGAUAUAAACCGAGUUUAGG
This is a long non-coding RNA of Oreochromis aureus, 410 nucleotides long. Lineage: Eukaryota; Metazoa; Chordata; Actinopteri; Cichliformes; Cichlidae. The record is from Ensembl.